Molecule: long non-coding RNA, 1164 nt
Filed under: Anser brachyrhynchus (Pink-footed goose)
Lineage: Eukaryota; Metazoa; Chordata; Aves; Anseriformes; Anatidae
Description: lncRNA (ENSABRG00000022963.1)
Source: RNAcentral
AUGCACAGGGGCAGCUGGCGGCUGCCUGGCUCCAACCCGGCCCCAGCGCUGUCACACAGCCGUCACACGAAGGCUUCGCGGUGCCGCACGGGAGCUACGGCCACUCUUCUUCCCCAAGGGCACCGAUGUCGUUCGGCGGAUGCGUGGGGCCGGCAGCGGCACGGGGGACACCGGCCCCAGCGGUGCCGCCUGCAGCACCCGUCCCCUCCACCGCCGGGGUGCCACAGGGGUGCUGGGUGCCGCCGCGACGCGCCCACUCGCCCACGGGGCGUUGCUCUCCACGAUGAGCCGGAGGAGGCCUGCCCCAGGGAAGUCCAUGAUGACCACCCCCCAGCGCACCGCCUGCCCCGACCGGCGCCGCAGGUGCCGGUAGCAGCGGGGGUUGACGAAGCGGGCCACCUCCUCGGGGCAGGUGAAGAGCCCGUUGCCCGAGCAGAAGGUGAGGUGCAUCUUGGUGGGGUCCCCGCUGGCCGCCGCCUCCAGGUGCCGCCGCGCUCGGGCCCAUUUCCUCUCCAGGGAGAGCACGUUCCAGGCGUCACUGAUGCUCAGCUGCUCGUAGGGGAUGCCCAGCACCGCCUGCUCCAGCGCCUCCAGCACCACGAUCUUGCCCCGAACCUGGCCCAGCGUGGGCACCUCCUCGCGGCACCACAGGCGGCCCCGUCCCUCCUCCAGCAAGCAGCGCUGGAGCCGGGCGGCGAAGCCGGGCCGGGAGAAGAAGGGCAGCUCCUCCUUGAUGCGCAUGAGCACGGCCUCGCCGGGGUGGGCGCGGAGGAAGCGCAGGGUGCGGCGCAGGACGCCCCGCAGGCUGGCCCGCUGGAAGGUGCAGAGGUGGUAGACGCGGAGCUCGCCCCGCUCCAGCUUGCAGCGCACGUCCAAGAAGCGCACGCCGGCUGCCAGCUGGGCCUCCAGGCCCCAGCUCUGGCACCGCAGGCGCCGGCCGCCGAACAGGCUGAGGGAGUCGUGCGUGCCAGGGAUGGAGAGGCGGGAGAGGGGCAGGGCGUCGGGCAGCCCCGCCAUCCAGUCGGGGCAGCAGGCUGCCGGCUGGGGCGUGCAGUCGAAUGCAGCGCUGUGCCGGCACCACGCAUCCAUGCCGCGGGGAGCACGGGUGCCCCGGCACCAGGCCAGCACCACCGAGACCUACCUGGAGGAGAAGCAGCACCGUGA